CAGCCACGGUAAUUCCAGCUCCAAUAGCGUAUAUUAAAGUUGUUGCAGUUAAAAAGCUCGUAGUUGAACUUCUGUUCAGGUUCAUUUCGACUCGUCGAGUGAAACUGGACAUACGUUUGCAAACUAAAAUCGGCCUUCACUGGUUCGACUUAGGGAGUAAACAUUUUACUGUGAAAAAAUUAGAGUGUUCCAGGCAGGUUUUAGCCCGAAUACAUUAGCAUGGAAUAAUGGAAUAGGACUAAGUCCAUUUUAUUGGUUCUUGGUUUUGGUAAUGAUUAAUAGGGACAGUUGGGGGCAUUAGUAUUUAAUAGUCAGAGGUGAAAUUCUUGGAUUUAUUAAGGACUAACUAAUGCGAAAGCAUUUGCCAAAGAUGUUUUCAUUAAUCAAGAACGAAAGUUAGGGGAUCAAAGACGAUCAGAUACCGUCGUAGUCUUAACUAUAAAC
This 444-nucleotide ribosomal RNA is filed under the name Tetrahymena pyriformis. RNAcentral describes it as "SSU rRNA". It matches the Rfam family "Eukaryotic small subunit ribosomal RNA", at positions 571 to 1037 of the family's 1831-position model. The record is from RNAcentral. Lineage: Eukaryota; Ciliophora; Oligohymenophorea; Hymenostomatida; Tetrahymenidae.